CAUGAACUUCCCUUAAAUGGCCUCACCUUUGCAGUUAAAGACAUGUGAGUUCCUCCACACAACUCUCAUUCCAAUCUGUAAUCUGAUUCAAUCAAUUUCUUUGAUUAAACUCAUAAUAUCACUCUUCUCCUAUGUGGGCACAUAGAAAAUCUGCAUACAAGUACUGUUUCUCUGUGUUCCGUACUCAUUCAUCAAUUUCAGAAACUGGGUUUUAUCUAUAUUCUCUUUUAAGAUUACACACAUGAUCAUAAUUCAAAUGAUUUUACUCCUUCCCCUUUGAGAAUUUGAAAUUUGUAGAGUCUGUUAUACUUGUUCUUAUGUGUUUCAACUCAUUGAUCAGUUUCAGCAACUGGGUUUUAUCCAAAUUGUUUUUACAUACUUCAAGUGAUUUUUCUCUAUUUCAUUUUUGGGGAAAUUUUGGAACAGAUUUGAUGUGGAUGGAUAUGUGACUGGGUUUGGGAAUCCUGAUUGGGCAAGGACUCAUCAGGCAGCCAUGUUGACGGCUCCGUCGGUUUUGGCUGUUCUAAAAGGAGGUGCCACAUGUGUUGGUAAGACUGUCAUGGAUGAAAUGGCAUACAGGUUAGAGUGCAGAACCCAAUUUGAAUUUUGCUCAUUUGGCUUAAAGGAUUAAAUCUUGUUGCAUGAGAUGCCUAUAAUUGUGAUGAAAUUUGAAGACUUAUCAAUUUUGGAACUCAGGAACGAAUAUCAGCUCAAAUUUUUUGUCAUGAAUCCAUUUUAGAAAUUGCUAUACUCUUCUUGAUGAACCAGUGCAUUUGAAUGCUAUCCAAUAAAAAGUCAAAUCAAUUCAAUCUCAGCUGAUUUCCAAAUGCUUUUCAAAUGGUUUAAGGCUGUCACCUGGUUUUUCAUCUUCACAUAAAGGUCUCUUGAAAAUUCAGGGCAUAUUUUUUUGAAUAAUGUGGCAGAAAUGACUAUUUUUUGGCAGUAUAAAUGGAGAAAACAAGCAUUAUGGCACACCCACAAAUCCACAGGCACCGGAUCGGGUACCUGGAGGAUCUUCUAGUGGAUCUGCUGUUGCAGUUGGUGCAAUGCUUGUGGAUUUCUCCCUAGGUAAGCUUUUAGUUUUCAUUUUUUUUCUUUUUUAUUUUUCUUAAAUCUUGGAGAACUUCUGAGCAAUUCUUUUUAUGAUGUUAAUUAGUUGAACCAGAGUUUUUCCUCCAUUACAGGUACUGACACUGGAGGAAGCGUAAGAGUCCCUGCAUCAUACUGUGGAAUCUUUGGCAUCCGGCCUUCACAUGGUGUUGUUUCUACUACAGGAGUCAUUCCUAUGGCACAAAGUUUUGAUACUGUAGGUAAGAACCAACAAUAUAAUGACUUAAUACCUUCUGCCUGAUUUUCUCCAAUUAAAUUGUCUGAAUGACAACCAAUGCGACAUUUCAAACAUCUUUCUGCUAUGAAGCUGAACAUGUAGCUGAAUUCUCAUGAAAAUUUUCCCUUAUUUUACUUUUCUGGAAGGUAAUGUGUGUUGUGUUUAGUCUAAUGUUUCAUGAAUUAUGAGCUCCUAAACUUGUAGCACUCUUUCAAUUUUGAUCUCAUUUCUUUGACCCCAAGUUCACUCCCAGGAUGGUUUGCUAGGGAUCCUGAGAUCUUGAACAGAGUUGGACAUGUCUUGCUGCCAUUCCCUGAUGUUAAUCCUGUCAAACCUAGUCAGAUUAUCAUUCCUGAAGAUUGUUUCCGCCUCCUCAGCAUUCCAAUUGAUCGAGUAACUCAAGUUCUUAUUAAAUCAGUGGAGAAGCUAUUUGGGAGUAAGUAGUUUGACUAUAUACUACAAAACUCUACAUUUCAUUAUCAUGGAGUGAGAUGACACUUUCUGUAUUUACUAGUGCAGGUGAUAUUGUCAAGCAUGUAAGCCUUGGGGACUAUGUAGAGGACAAAGUUACAAGUUUGAAGCCUUUUAUGAGUAAAGAAAAUCAAACACAAGAGUACAAUAUACCAUCCUUGGCAGCCCUUUCAACUGCCAUGAGGUUGCUUCAAAGGUACAGGUCCUGAACCCUUUUCUGUUGGAUUCUUAGUGGAUUCAACAAUGUGCUUGAAUGAUAAUUGGAGUGCUGUUGAUGAUCUUGAAGCAUAGGUAUGAGUUCAAGAAUAACCACGGAGAAUGGGUCCGUGAAGUUCAACCUGAUUUAGGGCCUGGAAUCAGAGAAAGAGUAUGGGAAGCCCUAGGGACAACAGAUGAAAAAAUUGAUGUCUGUCAGUCUCUGAAGACUGAAUUUCGCUCGGCUCUUACUGAUCUUCUUGGGGUACUCUCUCCAUCUCUCUCUCCCAAAACUCACACAAGCAGCUAUACCAACAAAAUAGAAGACACCAUUUCUCCAUGAAUUCACGUUUGCCUGCAUUAAUCUUAGGAUUCUGGUGUCCUUGUGCUGCCAACGGUACCUGGGCCUCCACCAAAGCUGCAAACAGACCCUACUACACUUGAAAGUUUUCGUGCCAGGGCUUUUAGCUUGCUGUCCAUUGCUGGGGUGUCUGGUUUUUGCCAGGUGAUCCUCUCUUUCUCUCCCAUUGUGAUCUUAUCUUUUCCUUGAUUAUCAUCAGUCAUUUGGGAAAUUUUUUGUUCACUUUUGGGAAAUGGUUCAAUCCACAGGUGAGCAUACCACUGGGGCUGUAUGACAAUCUUCCUGUGGCAGUUUCCUUGUUGGCAAAACAUGGUUCUGAUGGCUUUCUACUCAAUCUUGUUCAGACCCUUUAUGGCAGUAUCAAAGAACAGGUUGAAGUAGCAGAGAAAACAAGUUACUGAGCUCAAUUGAAUCUCUUUGUACUAUUCAGUUCUAAACUCUAGUACCAACUUGAAUAACAAGGCUCUGUUUUGCAUGUCUUGUGCUUUGCAUUUCUCUCUAUUCACACAUAUGGGGUGUGUUUGAUACACUGGAAUGAGGAAUAGAAAUGAAUAUUUUGUUUGCGAUCCUAUUCCCUCGUGAAUAGGAAUGAAUUUGGUACGAAUGUAAGGUUGGAAUGAUAAUUUUUUUUCCAUUUCAAUGUUAUGUAAAAAUGGAAAUGAAAAAAAAAAAUUGUCUAUAAUAUCGUAUAUAUGGUUUAAAAUAAAUAUUUUUAUUUUUAUUUUUAUUUAAAAAAUUUUCAAAUUGUACAUAGUUUGAAAUAAUUUUUUAUUUUCAUUUAAAAAAAUCCUUGAGAAUUUUUUUUCUAAAUAAUAAUACCACUAUUUGGUUGUUAUUCUUUAAAAACAAUUUUUAAAAACAAAGUAAAAUAGAAAAUUGUUCUUCCAAUUUUUUUUAUUAGAGAAAAUGAAUUUCAAAUCAAGUGAAACUUUGUAUUAUAUGUAUUAAUAAGUUUAAUAAUUUUAAAAAAUAAUUUCAAACUCAAAAAAAAUAUAUACAUAUAAUCACUAUGAAAACUAAUGGACAUAAUUAAUAUUUUAAAAUUUUUAAUAAAUAUUGUAAUUUUUUAGAAUAAUUUAAAAUUCAAAAAACAAAUUGAUUAAUUAUAAAUUAAAUAAAAUAAUUGAAAAUGUCAUCUUGAUAAUUGAGUAAUAAAUGUAAGUUUAUAAUGAAAAAUUUGGCUCAUUUAUUUCUUAAAAAAUUAAAUAUUAUUCGUUUUUAUAUUCAUUGAAAAUAUAAUAGUACUAUUAAUUAUUGAUUUUGAAGAAUUAUUCUUUAUUUUUAACAAAAUAAAUCAAUUAAUGUUAAUAUCUAUAUUUUUAUAAUAUUUAUAAAAAAAUAUAAUUUAUAAUUUUAUUAUAUUAUUAAUAUUCAUAUUUUAUUAAAAACUAUUUAUUUUAAAUUUAUUUGUAACUAAAAAUUAUUUUUAUUUUUAAUAUGAGGUGAAUUAAAUUUAGUUUACAUUAUAUAAAUUAAAUUUAUAAUUUCUGUUUUUUACAAAAUCAAAAUAAAUAAAAAAUAUUUUUAAAGACAUAUCUAAAAAAAGUCUUCACAAAAUAAUGGUAGAACUCAAAGCUUCACAAAUAAGUUUGUAUGAAAUUAUAUAAGUGGGUCAAAAUACUCCUAAAGUUUAAAACCUUUCACAAAUUCAAGAUAAUUCAAUCUCUUUAAUUUCUUUCAUAUUAAUUAAUAUAAGAUAUAAAUGACACAUUUUUCAUUUAUAAUUACAAAUUCAACCCAUUAUGAUAUUUUUAGGCUUCCUCCACCAUAGCUUUUUAUUUCUUGUUUUAGUUGGAAGUUGAAAUCGAAGUCCAAAUUAUAAUUUUUUUUAAAGGAAAUAUUAACAUUGUAAAAUUUAAUUAAACAUGGAAAAAUAAAAUUUUCCUAACUUUCAUAUUCGGUUUUAUUUGAGUCAUAACUUAUUUUUCUUUUUUUCCUUUUUUUUUUUAUAAAAAAAAAGCUUUUGAUUUCUUAAAAAUUGAUUUUAAUCGGGUCUUAAUCCUAUAACUCUCAUGUGUAGCUAUAGAAUUAAUAAGAGCAUACAUAUACGAAGAAGGUUGCAAUUGAGUGAAUAUAAAAAUGUUAUAACAUUAGGUAAGUUAGGGAUUCUUGAGGGAUCCCAGAAUCAAGUUUGCAAUGUUUUAAAACAUUUUGAAGGGUGUAUAAGUGUGUAAAACUUCUUUUCUCAAAGAUUUGAAGUGACUAGGAAUAUCAAACCUAUUGCUUUAUGCAAUAUGACAUCUUUAUUGUGACUUAUGGUGUCACAACCUCACUCUCCACCUGAUAUUGUCUAGUUUGGUUUUACUUUUUUAUUAGACCUACACCCUUAAGAAAAGGCCUUGAUAGUGUGUUGUGAAAACCCUUCAUAUAUGGUUCUUCCUCAUCCACUCCUCGAGCGAUGUGAGACACUACAUUCCGCCCCCUUUGGAGCCUAGCGUCAUCGCUGACACACUUCCAAUCGAAUAUCAAUACCAUUUUGUCAUAGCCCCACUCUUCACCUAAUAUUGUUGGGUUUAGAGUUGCAGUAAUGCACACAUGUCCCACCAGUCGACAAUAGUUUUACUUCUUUAUUGAGCCUACGCCCUCAAGAAAAGACCUCGAUAGUGUGUUGUGAAAACCCUCCAUAUAUGGCUCUUUCACAUUCAUUCCGUAGGUAAUACGAAACACUACAUAUGGUAUUUAUGUUUGGUAUGAUAGGGGAUAUUACUUUCAUCCUUCUUGCACUAUGAUACCUUCAUUGUGGCAUCAAAUGAUAUGAGGUGGGGAGAUAUCAUAUUCACCCUUCCAUCCAAUACAACGCCCAUGUCUUAGUCUAUAGGGCUCGUGGAUGUAACAUACAUCCUUGUUAUAGCCAAUGAAGCUUCUUAUUGUCAAAAUUGCAUUUGUUUUUUUCUCAAAGACCAACAAUGAUAAUUGGUAUAGUAUGGUCUAUGUCAAAGUCAAAGAAUUUUAUGACUUUAAAACACGUUUUAUAAAAAUAAGAAGAAAUAUUUUUUUUUUCAAGUGCCAAAAACAUCUUUCUUCACUAGGACUAUGACCAAAAUUAUCUUUCAAUGUAAACCCAACUAUCCAAAUACUUCACCAAAGAGAGGUCAAGCCCAUGCCGGCCCAUUGUCAAAGCAAUCCAUCAUUCUCACAAAAAAUGAUCAAAAAGGUCCAAUUUUGUGAUCACCCCCAAAUUGAGUGGACUUAGAAAUGGGCCCACCAACAAGCCCGUGGUUCACGAUGAAGGUGGGUGAGAGUAUGAGAAUGGAGAGUGCCAUAAUAGUGUUCACUCAAAGCUUCAAACCAAAUAUAUAGACAUGUACUCAAGGUUGAAGCUUUGAAUUGUUUCCGGCUUGUGAACUCUAAACCCACGCUCCACUCACUGGCGCGUACACAUUUAGUAUCAAUUUAUGUACUAUUUUUAGAAACUCAUGAUUAAAUUUAUAUAAAAUGAAGAAAAAUCAUGAAAAAUCGACUUGGGUAAGUAUAGGUUUGAAAAUUUGUGGUGACAAUGCCAUCAAAGAAUUCCACGCGCCACCACCUCAAGUGGGGGGAGUGUCAGGGACUGUCAACACCCAAAGGGCCUAAAACAAACGAAGUCAAGCAUACGUCUCUUCUCCGUCACAGUCUCUCCCAUUCCCAGCUCUAACUUCCAGCGGUGUGAUCCAAUCACCCAUCAAAUAUUCGUAAAUAUAAAUUCUAAUCCACACCCACGAAUCUCCAUCACUUCAAUUCGUUUCUCCCAAAUUUCCAACGAGAAUGGAGGUCAGAGCUCGAGCUCCCGGGAAGAUCAUCCUCGCCGGCGAACACGCCGUCGUCCACGGAUCCGCGGCGGUGGCCGCUUCUAUCAAUCUCUACACCCACGUUUCUCUUCGAUUUCAUAGCAUUUCUGGUGCACCCGUCAAUCUUUUUUUCUCCUUUUGUUUUUAGAGUUAUGAUCAUGGCUUGUUUGGUUGCUCAGAAAAUAUGGGAAAAGGGAAAGAAAGUGAAUUUUUUUAUAUUCCGUUGAAUUUUUUCUCCUUUUGCUUUUUUCUAAUUGUGAUGAUUCAGACAAAUGUGGGAAAGGAAGACGGUGGAUCUUUUAAUAUUGGGUCAUUGAUUGGUUAUAAGUCGUUCCGGUGAAUCCAACGCUCUUUUGUGUCCUUUCUUGCACGAGUUUUGUUUGAAUCUAUAACUGUUUUUUGUUGGUAAUAGGAGAUGGAUUAGUGGCGCUGUGUUUGAUUGCUCAGAAAGUGUGGGAAAUGGAAAAAGAGAAAAGUUUUAAAUAUCGUCUUUGUUAUUUUUUUGUAUGUCUAUGAAAAAGACGGGUUUGGAAGCUCUAAUUAAUUUGGUUUGGUAGAAAUUAUCUGUUUAGUAGGGUGAUUAAUGAUGAUGAAGAGUGAUUAAUUAUUUGUGUCUCCUGGGAAAAGAGGGUUUGGGAGCUCCAAUUGAUUUUUGUUGAAAUGAUGAUCAGAAGAAACCCGUUUCUUUUCCUUCUUUCGGUAAGAAUUAGGAGAGUGAUCGAUGAUGAUGGAAACUGUGAUGAUAAUGAUCUGUUUGGUUGCUCAAAAAGAUGUAGGCAAGUAAAUCUUUUCAAUAUUGAGGUUUCCAUUGUUUGAAUCUUUAUCCAUGAGCUAACUUUUGCAUAGAUGAAAUUUUGCAUUGGAUUGAUUGGGAUUUGCUGCAAAUUAUGAUUGAGAGGACAUUGUUCAGGUUUUGUAUUAAUGGUUUUAUUUGAAAACAUUUUUGCUCUGAUUUUUUUUUUCUCUAAGCUACUAUUUUUUGUAAAAAAAGAAAAGAAAAGAAAAAUCACUGCAGUAAAUUUUUCAAGAUUGCAUUGAUUUGUUUUUGCCAAAAUAGAUGAUAAGAAAAAAAAAUGCAUUUUAAGAUUUUGUGCUAAUGUUUGUGGUCAGAGUGGAUUGUAGAAAUGUUAUUCUUUUAUUUAUGUUCAAUAUAUUUCAGACUAUUACAUUUGUUAAAAAAAAAAUUGAUGCCAAUUAUCAAAUGAUGAUCAGUCGGAUAUGGAUCUGAUAUAGUAUGUUCUCUUUUUCCUGAUAUGGUUUUGUUCAUUUCUUCUUGGUUUUCUGUUGACUGUACCUCUAAUUAGUAUUUUUUAAUAGACGAUGAUCAUACCUUAAAACUCCAUCUCAAGGAUAUGGCAUUGGAAUUUUCAUGGUCAAUUGAAAGAAUCAAAGAAGUACUACAAGAAGUAGGUUGUCCCUUCUCGUCGACGCCUACAACAUGCACUCCAGAGUUCAUUAAAUUGAUUGCAGCUCUACUUAUAGAGCAGAACAUUCCAGAGGCAAAACUUGGACUUGCUUCUGGAGUGUCCGCCUUUCUCUGGCUGUACACCUGUAUCCAAGGGUAUUCCCUUAUUAUUAGUUUCUAUUGUCAACUAUUCCCCUGUUAUUGUUUGCUUUUCUGAUUUGGUUCCUUAUGUCUCAGGUUUAAGCCUGCUACAGUGGUCAUCACUUCUGAGCUUCCACUUGGUUCAGGCUUGGGUUCAUCUGCCUCAUUCUGUGUCUCACUCUCAGCUGCCCUGCUUGCAUUGUCAGAUUCUGCAAGUCUAGAUUUUAGCCACCCAGGUUGGUCAGUAUUUGGGGAGAAUGAGCUUGAAUUGGUAAACAAAUGGGCCUUUGAAGGUGAAAAGAUAAUUCAUGGAAAGCCAUCUGGAAUUGACAAUUCAGUUAGCACAUUUGGUAAGGAAUCUUUCUGAUAGUGUAGAUAAAUUUAUAAUUGUUGUCUUUCAACAUUUUAUGUACAAUCAGUCUCCCUCUUUUUCCUGACUAGGAUCUGGCCGCUAUUUGAUGUCUGGAACAAGUUGGAAUUUAAUAAGCUUUCAUAGUGAAAGAGUUGAAAGAAUGGUGGUUUAUAAAAAAUGGCAAGUAUUUUGAGAAAAACUUACAAAUGCAGUGCAUUUUGUGGAAAAGGAUGUCUGUGUUGCUGUCGUGGAAUUCUCUCUAAUAAUUUAGGAUUUCCCUCCAAUAAUUUAGGAAUUCCAAAUCCUUGGAAUUUGUUUCUGAUGUACUUAUGUAAUUUGUGAGCUGGUGAAAUUUAUAUGAUAACACUAGGUCAUGUAGCAUAUGUUUGACAUGGUCCUGGGUUCGAAUUCAAUCAUUGAUAAUACCUUGAAUUUAACUGGUGCUAAUUGUUGCAAGGCAGUCAGCACCCCAAGGUUUGGGUCCCCGUGGAGAGUUUUAAGGGCUUGGCCAUGAAAGAUUCCUCGGUUAUUAAAAAGAAAAACAAAAUGUUUUAGAAGCUUUAAAAAUUUCAAAGCAAUUUGUCACCUCUUUCCUUGUCACACACCAAUCCGCAUGCACACAUUGUCUUGUGCAGAGAAUGAUAUAACAAGAAUAAAAAAAAGAACUGUCAAUAUCUGGAUCUUUCAUUCAGCGCAAUAAGAUGCUUUUAUUUUAUUAACCAAAGAAUAUGUAGUUUUUUUUAUCUUGAAAAUCCUAGGCGGUUGCUUCUUUUUAAAUAUUUAUGUGAUAAAAAAGGUUUAUGAAACAGGCAACAUGAUCAAGUUCAAGUCAGGUAGUUUGACGCGCUUAUCCUCCAAUAUGCCACUCAAAAUGCUUGUUACCAACACAAAAGUUGGGAGGAACACAAAAGCAUUAGUUGCUGGUGUCUCAGAGAGGACCUUAAGGCAUCCAAAUGCCAUGAAAGCUGUGUUUAACGCAGUUGACUUUAUCAGCGAGGAAUUGUCCACUAUCAUUCAGUCUCCAGCUCCUGAUGAGCUCUCCAUAACUGAGAAGGAAGAGAAGCUAGGAGAGUUGAUGGAAAUGAAUCAAGGUUUGCUCCAAUGUAUGGGGGUCAGCCAUGCUUCCAUAGAAACUGUGCUUCGAACAACAUUGAAAUACAAGUUGGCUUCGAAGCUGACAGGAGCUGGGGGUGGAGGCUGUGUUUUGACGCUAUUGCCAACCCGUAUCCAUUUUCAAAUUCUGUUUAUAUUUGGUGGUAUCAUUCUUGUGAUGGCACCCUUAAUUUCAAUCUUUUCCCAUUGCAUGCUUUUAUAUUCUAUAAUGAAUUCCAUGAUUAAAUAUUAGUUAGGGGCAUAUUUGUAGAAAAGACAUGCGAUAUAAGAUAGGAUACAUACAUGACGCACACAGAUUUUUCCAUUUAAUAGUUAUAAGAGAAUUUACUUUUGAACAUUUAAAAAGAAGAGUAGAAUUAUUUAUAAGGUAAUUUAAGAUUUUGAGGCUUGCUUUCUGUAAUAAAAGUUAAAAACAUCUAACUCAUGUUGCAUCCAGUGAGGAGUGGUUUGACAUUUCCUUUACAAGGUUUUGAGACUUGGUUUCUGUAAUAAUAGUGCAUGGAAGCAUUAAUUUAUACUUGCAUGUGUAUUCCUUUUUGUGAAUUGGUUGCAGACUGCUUGGAACCUUUGUUAUAUUAUUAGCUAGUUAUAAACUAGUUGAAACUAGAAAGCAUAAGUAAAAGUUAGUAGGUUUACCUUUGUGGAUUUUAUAAUGAAUUAAUGCAAUGAAAUGUCAUUAAUGUGUGCAUCCGAAUAAUACGAUUCAAUAUAUGUUUUUGCCUUUUCAAACAUUAUAUCUUCUAUGAAAUUGUUUAUUUAUAGCUUUGUCCCUCAUUGUUGCAAUAUAUAUCUGUUUUAUAAUGAAAUUUCUUUUAUGGUACACCAUACAGAAAUAUUGGAAAUUGAUUACUAUAUGCAAGUUGACAACUAUUGUUUGGAGGCAUUAAUUGUUUCUGAAAAUAUAUGUGAUUUUCCCCUUUAUUUGCCUUGGUACCUCGUAUGUACAAUUUUGAUUCUUACAGUGGCAGGUUGCUUCAUUGAAUAGGUUUGCCAUAUGUGCCUAAUAUUAUGCUAUAAAUGAAGUUUCAUGCAUCUAGUUUGAUUUGUUUUGGGGCUACUACUUUGCAGAUGAAUAAAAUCCUUAGCAUAGAGCUCAAAACUUUACCUAGAACUAGGAUAAAAUUAGAAUAAUGAGUUGGAAUCCUUGUUUAAAUUGAGACAAACAGAAUUUUUUGGUUGCGUGCCCACAGAACUUACCUGGUUAAUGCAAAUAUUUGAUGAAUGGAUCUGUACUUGGCUAUAGUUGGGAGUGUAAGAACUUGAAAGGACCAUAAUAGCAAACUGCUUUACAAUCCUAAGGAAUUGAAUCUAGCUAGAGAUGGGGUAAGAGAAGGGUGAUGAGUGGGUCAUUUAGUUUAUCAUUUCAAGAAGCUUAGACUUGGUUGUAAAAUGGAAAUCCCAAGGAAUGUGACUCCGGUGCUGAGGAUUAGAUAAGAAAAGUAGCUAAAUAGCUUCAUGUGGGCAGACUCAAAUAGUUGGGAGGGCUUGAUUUAGAGCUGGUCUAAGAUUUUUAUAAAUGAGUCUUUCAAGUAGAAACAAUUUGAACAGAGCUCAAGCUGCUGGUAGUAAACAGGAGCAAUCAUGGUAGAUUUAGACAGAUUUUGCCUAGAACAGAUAACCCUCAUCAUUUUUUGCCCUCAUGCAAGUGCACGACUGAAAGCUCUUUCAGAAACAAUUUGCUUGGCUGUAGGGACAAUCUCAUAUAUGUUACAAUUCAGAAUAAUGACAGGAAAAUGAAACUAGGCAGCAGUCGAACAAAUUAAGCUGAACAAUCCAUAUAUGGCCACAGAAACAUGUUAUUUUCUCAGCUUCAAUGUGGCUGUAGUCAUACAAACCAAUAUUUUUUGUUUCUAAAUGUCAUUCUCUCUCUCUUCUCUUUCUCUUUCUUCAUUUGUUCCCCUUGACUACAUGAUACAAGUGCUAUCAGGAACGGUUGUUAAUAAAGUAAUAGCUGCGUUGGAGUCAUGUGAAUUCCAAUGUCUUAUCGCUGGAAUCGGCGGGAAUGGUGUUGAGAUUUGCGUUGGUAGUUGUUCAUCCUGAUUUUCUCAGAGGAAGCAAUGAAGCACAGUAAGCUUGUAACAGCUAUAUUUCAUUGAUGCUGUUGUGUUUCUGUGUACAUUAAUUUUAGAGUCAAGGAGGAAUAACCAUUCUUCCUGGUUCAUGGACAUUAUGAUAAAAGAAAAUGACUGUAUGAAUUCUUAAUAAUGGCCUGAUCCUCCUUCAUGUUGUAAGGUUGUAGUUUAAUUGUAGCACACACUGCAAGCUUUUAACGAGUCCUUUCUCCUUUGCAGUAAAUCCACUCUUUUAUUUUGAGGUAUUGGCUUCAAGGUUAUGUAUGGUUCUCAAAAAAGUAUUAAUGAAAGAAACCCCAAGUAGUCUGGUUCGUCUUGAUUUUCAGUAGGUGGCACAUAAUAAAUAAAAUAUUAGACAUAAAAAUUAUCUUUAAAAUAUAUUCAAAAAUAUUUAAAAUUUUAAGUUUUCAAAUAAUUUUUUAUCAUACUAAACGAAAAUGGUUUUAAAAUUAAUUUUAUAUAUAUGUAAUAUAUAAAAUUAAUAGGAUUUGCAUGGAAAUGUUAUUCGAAAACAAUUUUUAUAAAAUAGUUCUCAAAAAAUAAAUAUUUUAUGAAAAAAAUAAUUUAAAAAAUUUGACAAAUGGAAAAUUGUGGAUGAUGCUCAAAUUGUUUCUGUGAUUUUUCUUUAUUAAAUUAUUAAAAUAUUUAAUAAAAUAAAUCAUUAAUUCAUAAGGAGCAUAUGACCCAUCUCAAAAAAUGAUCUUCAAUUAAAUGUACCACAAAUAAAAGCCACUGAUGAACAUGUUCCAUUCAUCAAUCUGUUAGAUAUCCAAGGUACUGCUGCCUUUUAAACCCACUGGUUAAUGGGAGGUCUCCCAAGUUAGAUUCUAAAGCUUCACCAGACAAAUUCUUGCCACAAACCAAAGUUCCAUUUAUUUCAUGUAUCAAACACAUCAUAUUCCCCUUGCCACAAAAGUAUCAAAACCCUAGUUCCUUACAAACAAAACCCAUCUCUAUAUACCAGGACUUGUUCAUCCACAAAUCCCCAAGAACACACAAAAUUCUCCCUUUUGCAAACCCCAUCAAGCAUUCACCACAACCCCACCUGCAAAACCAAAAACCCAUCAAAACAAAGUCAUCAAAACCCCAUCUUGAAAUCUUAAAAGCUUAAAUAUCCAAAACCCUAAAAGAAAAACUUACCAUUGGGGUGGAGAACUUGACCAGAAAUAUAGGAGGAGUCUGCAUGGGAGGCCAAGAAGACAUAUGAGGGUGCAACCUCACAUGGCUGGCCAGCCCUGCCCAUGGGUACUUCAGACCCAAACCUUGCACACUCCUCUUCACUGAAGGAGGCUGGUAUGAGUGGAGUCCAGAUGGGUCCAGGGGCCACACCAUUAACCCUAAUUCCUUUGGGUGCAAGCUGCAGCGCCAGUGAUCUGAUGAAAGCCACAAUGGCACCUUUGGUGGAUGUAUACUCUAUCAGUUUAUUGUUUCCUUUGUAUGCAUUGAUUGAGGUGGUGUUUAUGAUGCUGCUCCCUUCCUGCAUAUACUUCAGAGCAUGCCUAAUAUAUAUCACCACCAAAUAACGGUCAUCAGUUAGUGGGUGUGUUUGGUUCUUGGGAAAACAGAAAGAAAAUAGCAGUUCAUGGACCUGGUCAAGAGGAAGUAAGAAAAGAUGUUGGUUCUGAACACCCUCUCCAGCCGCUCCUCGUCGAUCUCCUCCACCGAGCACGACUUGUACUGCUCGGCCGCGUUGUUCACCAGAAUGUCUAUCCUCCCGUACGCCGCCACCACCUCCUCCACCACCCUCCGGCAGUUAUCAUCGUACCCCAGAUCCGCAGCUAUCGCUAUCGGCUCCUUCGCAUCGUCCCUCUUCGCCUUCCUUAUCAUCUGCAGCGUCUCCUGCGCGUCCCUGUCCUCCUGCACCUUCACGUACGUGAAGGCUACGGUGGCCCCCUCAAGCGCAUACAGGUAGCAGACGGCUCUGCCGAUGCCAGAGUCGCCACCGGUCACCAGCGCUACCUUGCCUUGGAGCUUGUGGGCAGGCCUGUAGUCUGGGUUUAUAAACUGCGGGGUGGGGGUCAUCACGUGCUCCUUCCCUGGCUGCCUCUCCUGCCUCUGGGGUGGAAACUGCUGGCCGCCACCGGAAGCCAUUGUCCUCUGCAACAGUGCUCUUCUGGGGUUAUCUCUUGUCGCCGGUAAGCCUGUACGGACAGGCGGAAACUCCAAUCUCAGGUGAGUGACACAAGCUAGUGAUGAGACUGGUCUCGAUGAAGAGAGAAUGCUAGAGAACAUGGAAAUUUAUGGGGUAUGGGGGUGGUGGAGCUAAGCUUUCGGCUUUAUAGUGAGGUGGAAACGGCGCGUGUGGAUACGUGGCAGACCUGGCGUCUACGUGUCGCGUCGAUCGCAUGCGGCGGUCACGUCCUCCGAAAUGGGCCCUUUGCCUGAGCUCAUGGGGCUUCCCUUAAAUUAUUAUUUUUUAUAAUAAAAAUUAAAUUAAAUUUACUGUGAAAAAAUUGUUCUGGAUUAAAAUUUUCAUAUUUUACUAAAUUAUAUAUUUUUAUAUUUUGUUUUCUAAAAUUCCUAUCAAAUCUUUCUAAUUGAUUUGAAUUUUGACUUUUACUUUUAUACAUUUCUAGUAAAAAACGAUUUUUUAAAAAUAAUUAUUUAUAUUUUUUAAACAUAACUUUCAAAAAUUAAUGGCAAGAAGGAUCACCCUUAUUCCAAUUUAUUUAAAUUAAUUCUCAACCUUAUUAAAAAAUUUAAACGAGUUAAGGUUGGUAUAAGAAUUCUCAUACCCAUCCGUCCAACCAUGUUUAAUUUUUUUUCAAUUAAAUUUUUUUUCUUCAUAUUUUUAUUUUUUAAAUAUUAAAUUUUAUUAAAAAUAAAUAUUAUACAUAUUUAUAAUUUAUUUUUAUAAAAAAUAUUUUAUAUAUAUAUAUUAAAAAUUGAAAAUAAAAAAACAAUUAAAAUAUAUGUUGCCAUCCUGUUGGAAAUGUUUUUAAAUAUUUAUUAAAAAUAAUUUUUUUCCUUUUUUUCAAUAUGUUAGGAAAGCGUCAAACAAAUCUCAAAAAAAAAAAAAAACAUGUUUUUGAAAAUAAUUAAUAAUCAAACAUAGGAAAUACUAAAUAUAUACCUUCUGUAUUUUCUUUUUCUCUCUCAUUUUCUCACAACUUUCUCGGACAACCCUAAUUAGAAGUUGAGUUUAACAGAGUCAGAGAUGGGAACACUUGGCUGAGGAAGGAGAGCAAGAAAAGUGGGUCUUAAGGUAGUUUUGCAUGUUGGCCACAUGUAGUGCUCUUCCAAUUGACACCUUCAACCCUUUCUUCUCUCCUAUUUUCUCCCUAUUUAACCAACCCCCCACACUCGUUUUCACUCUCUCUACCCCCACAUGCAAAUCCACAACCCAAACCAGAAAUAUUGAUCCUCUUCUUCCUCCUCUCUCUCUCUCUCCUCCGGUUAUAGAGCUCAACAAUGGCUUCUCUUCUUCAACUCAGUACCCUCUCCUUCUUUCUGGUUGCUCUCUCCAUACAUUUCACAUCUACUCCAGUCCAUUGUGAUGGUAAUCAAUUUCUUUAAUUUCAUCUUCUUCUCUCUUUCGUAUGACCUUUUUGUAUUUAUGGUUGAGAAUGUCAAGUGUGGGUCAUGGUAUUCAUUUCACUCUUUGUCUUUUUCUUUUCUUUCUUGAGAUGCAGCUGAGGAUGACGACCUUCUUCAAGGCCUCAACAGCUACAGAACGGCCAGAAACCUCUCGACCCUGGUCAAGAACGACAAGGCGGAGUGCCUGGCGGAGGAGCUGGCCGGGGAAUUAGAGCAUCAGCCCUGCACCGCUGCCGUCCCCGCCACCCCGCAGCUCCAGCUCGCCAACUACCCCAGCAUCCUUAAGAAGUGCAAAAUCGACAUCAACUACACCAGAGACGGUGUCAUCAUGCAAGUCUGUGUCCCCCACAGGGUCCCAACCCUCGUCCUCACCAACUUCACCCAGUCUCACUACUCCAGGUACCUCAACGACAGCAAGUUCACGGGCGUCGGCGUCGGGUCAGAGGACGACUGGGUGGUGGCCGUCCUCAGCACCAAUGGCAUCGAGGGGAGCUUCAGUGGGGCUUCCAGGGCUGCCAUGGAGCUGGGUUUGAUGAUGCUCAGCCCCUGCUUGGUGGCUUUGCUUUUGGGAUUAUUUGUUGCUAUGGUGAUCAACUGAGACUGAUGGGGUGUUAGGGCUGUGUUUGGUUGUUUAAUCUUUUGUUUUUGUAGCUUUAUUUUUCAGGUUGAUGACCAGUUUUCAGUGUAAUGUUAAUGCGUUUUUUCCCCCUUAAUUUCUUAUGUGUAUGAAUGGUAAUAUAUAGAAUUCCAAGUUCAACUUGGGUUUGAAGCCCAAAAGAGUCAAAAGACCCGUCCAAAUUUAGUUAGGGCAGACUUGGGUCGAACACGUUUGAAAAAGCCCGAAAUGGCUCCCAAGCCCAAAUUUAGGUGGGCAUACUUGAGUCUGACAGAUUCAGAAAAGCCCAAAAUGGCUCAAGCUUGACUCGACCCAAAUUUAGGUAGGGCAAGCUUGAGCCGCUGUUUAUUUCCAAACCCAUUUAAACUUCAACCCGAUUGGAUCCUCGAGCCUGUUCAAAAAACCGAUCUAAAAGUUCAUAAUUAGAUUAAGAGUGUGUUUGAUAAUGAUUUUAAGAAAUGCUUCUAGUUUUUUUAACGUUUAAAUCAUAAAUCUUUUUAAUUAUUAUAAGUGAUUGAAACGUUUUCUAAAUUCACCAUCAAAUGGACUUUAAACUAAUUGAAAAGAUUAUAAUUAGUCAAGUUCACCAAAAACCUUCAAUAAUUUAAAGUUACCCUUAAUCUUUGUAUAUUACAUUUGCAAAUUUUACUUUGUGAUUUUAUUACGUAUUCUUGUUUAAUAUUUAAUGGUGGUGGAUGUGUAUUUAUAUUGUAAUCAUGUCAUAAAUAUUAUCAAUUCACCAACAAUAGUGGAUUAAAUUACACUUAUACCCUUGAUAAGAUGUAAAAUUUGGAAUUUUAAUAUAAUUUAUAAUUUGGAUUUUUUUUUUCAUUUUGGUUGGUAUUAUCUUAAAAUAUUAAACAUUUUAAGCAUAGUUGAUUUAGUUAACGAUGUUAAUAUAAAAUGGUAAAUCUUUUAAAAUUAUUUAAGACCAGCAAUAUAUGGCAUACAUAUGGAGUUAAUUUAACCUUUUUUUUAGGUACAAUCACUUAUCGAAGAUACUCAUUAAGACCUAAACAAACUCGUUUAGGGCCUUUAUUUCAAGCAAUAACUUUUUUUUUCUUUUUUUAUUUUAAGAAAAGAACAAAUAAUUACCAUUUAAAGGCCAGGAAAGGAUCACUAACAAAAUAUUGUAUUUGUAUCGUAAUUUAGAUUCCACAUGAGGCCAAUCUUAACUCUUAAUUCAAUGACCCAAUUUUUUGUAAAGAUACAUAUGACAUGAUAUUAUAAUGACACUCAUACCAUAUGAAGUGAUUGUCACAUGGUAGAGAAAUGGUAUCUUGAAUCUUACAGUAAUUAGAAAAUAAGAUAAUGACACUCAUACCAUAUGAAGUGAUUGUCACAUGGUAGAAAUGGUAUCUUGAAUCUUACAAUAAUUAGAAAAUAAGAAAAUAAAUUAAAUAAAUGAUAUUGUCGUAGUUAAAGGUCUUCAUUGUCAUCAUGGGAGUGGGACAUGAGGGUUGUACAUCUAAAUAAUUUUCAAUCAAAUUUGGAAUCCAUAUUAUGUAAGAAGACAUUGUUUUUGUUAAUUCGAAUUGAAGGGUGAUAUAAAAUCAGUCUAUUGUCGACAUCAUAUCUAUAGUUAGAGCAUUCAUCACAAUUAGUAGCUCUAAUUCCAUAUCAAAGUCACGAUCGAUAACAUCACUAGCAUCAAUAUGCUAUAUAAUCCGUACCCAUUUGUAACUCUCCCUUGUGAUGUUAUGAGAAAUAUCUAUAUAUAUAGGAAAACUUCGGAUUACUAAAUUACUUUUUUGAAAUACCUAAGAUAAAAAAUAAUAAAAAAACUAGUCAUUUCACCGUUCAAUUAUUUACUCCAAGUCAUGAAUGAAACCACACUAAAAUCGAGAAUCAUUUCAUUUUAAACAUAAAAAUCUUUCACAUUUUUUUUUAGUGGUUUAUAGACAGUUUUUAGCAGUUCCAACUCCUAUAAAUAGUUCUCUUUGAUAUUUUAUUUGGUUGGAUCAACCUAACUUUAACACUCAACCAACUCCAAUAAUAUAUAUAUAAUUAGAAAAAAAGAAAAUAAAUUGAACAAAUGAUAAUACUAUAAUUAAAAACUUUGGUCAUCAUCAUGAGAGUGGACACACGAGGGUCCUACAUUUUAAUGAAUUCCAACCAAAUUUCCCACAAGUGGGGACUUUGAACCUUGGGAAGAAAUAAUAAUGUUGAAAAUUUAUUUAUUUAUUUAUUUAUUUAUUUAGGAGAAUUAGCUUGUGGGUGUGUCUCAUUCCACAAUAACCCAUGCCCCAUUUACUUUUUUGUUUUUGACUAGACCAUGGUGGACAUUGUGGUCCAUUGGGAUUUGGCUUAAGUUCAUUUGUCACUAAUCAAUCCUAAUAGUAUGGCUUUGGUUAUGAAUUUUUUAGUGGGAAAUUUUGAAUCGUGUAUUUUUUAUUUUAAAAAAUGAAAAAUAUUUCUCAUUUUCUCAUUGGAAAUAAAUUUAUUUAUUUUUGGAUCAAAUUCUCAUCCAAAUAUAUUUUUUAAUAAUAAUUUUUUGGAAUCAAAUUUAAUAAAAAAAUUGUUAAUUUGGGAAUUUUGUUAUAAUUCAUUAGUGGGCCAACCCGAAUCCAGUUGGCUCAACUGGAUUGUGGGUCCCUUUUAAACUUUGCCAGCUGCAACUACAGUGAACGGCAUGUGCGCACAAGCCUAACGUGCGCACCAAGCACCACCCACAAAAACGAUACGUCAGAGAGAGGAACACCUUCAGGGCUUCAACCAUGGCGGCGAUUUCAUCCGUCCACGACGGCGACGAGGGUUUUGGGGAUUUCAAAUUCGCCUCCUUCCCAAAUCCGACCGUCCAUUUCAAUCAGAUUAACGGCACAGAUUUCACCGACGAUGAAUGGGGCGAUUUCGUCGUACAUCCACUCUCCAAUGUACUCUCCCACAUUCAAUCAUCGUCCAACCCCUCCCAAACCGCAAAGCCCUUCGACCCUUUUGGUUUCUUCCCCAACGAUUCAGCGAAGCCCUCCGAAUCGGUGGUGAGCUGCGUGGACUCAGUGCCGACUCGAUCUGAAUCCGAGAAGAAACAGUGGGUUAAGCCUCAAGGUGCCUUGCCGUUAUCGAUCUUUGGGGAGGAGGAGGAGGAGAAGGAAGAGAAGGAAUCUGAUUCCUCCGAGCCCGCGCAGACUUUCGAUCACAAACGAGUCGAUUCUGCGAAGCACGGACCGAAGGUGGAUCCGGUUGUUGGGAUUAAUGAUAUUCUUUCAAAUUUGUACAGUCAGAAUCAGCAGAUCAAGGGUGAAAAUGGGUCGCCUGCGGUCUCUAAUGGGCGGAAUUUGAACUCAAAUUCGGAUUCAAAUACGUUGCAUGCGGAUUUGGUUGAUGGGGAUGAUGGUUUUGAUGAUGAUGAUGGAUGGGAAUUCAAGGGUGCCGUCUCUGAAAAUUCUAAGGUAAUGUUUCAGUACUUGUUGUUUAUGAUGGGUUGUGCAUAAGAUUGGGGGGAAGAAAAAGUUAUAAAAUUUUGAAUGUGAAUUAUUUUGCGGUUCCCCUUAUGCAGAAAAACUGAGACAAAUAUAUAUAUAUAUAUAUAUAUAUAUAUAUAUAUAUAUAUAUAUAUAAUUUAUGUAGUUUUUGCUUUCUUUAUGCUUGGUUGGUGUCAAACGUGAGGGAGAGAAGAAAUUAAAUUUUUGGGCAUUAAGGUGCUUUGUAGUUAACCCCUUGCUCGGUUGUGAAGAAUGUUGAGGAGCAAAAGAACUGCAAAUUUUGAAUAAGGACGUUGGAGCUCAGCUUUUAUAGUUCACCUUUUUUCCUUUAUCUUUCUUUUCUGAGAAAAAUGAGGAGCAAAAAAAAUUUCAAACUUCCAGCUUUCUGUUGUUUUGGUUUGGGAAAAAAAGGACCUACUGUGAGGUGAGCCAAAUAGUUAUGCUAGAGAAAAUCUGAAUGGAUGUUUUUGAAUAAUAAAACAAACUAAUGUUAAAAAUUUUGAAGUUCUUUUCUAGUCCUCCGGAACCAAAUGAAGCAUUAGAAAAAAUAUGAUUGUUUUUUUUUUCCUGUUCAUGUCAGGUACAAGUGGGUUCAGGAUUAUUAGGACUGGAAGUUGAGACAACAGUAAAGCAAGAAAUGCAGGCGGGUAUUGUUUAAUUUUAUAUAUUUGUAUGUUGUUUGUGUUUUCAUGAUCAAUUUGUAUUGGAGAAUUCAGUGUUGUGUGUGUAUAAUUAUCCGUAAAAGAAAUCAGUUGAUCUAUUAAGAAUCUUGUUGCUACUUGUUUAGGGAGAGCAUUUUGUCUGUAAAGCUGACAUUUUCUUGGUUUAAAUGUGAUGGAAAAGGGCAGGAAAAUCCUGGUGGAGGCAAAUACACAUCUGGAUUUUGCAAUGCUUUGGAUGGUUCUAGAGAUUUCUUUGCUGCACCAAAUGGGCUUUGGCAAGAAAGUUCUAAUGGAGCCAAACGCAUGUCUGGUUUUCACAAUGCUCCUGAUAGCUCGGGUGAUUUCUGUGCUGCUUCAAAUGGGCUUUGGCAGGAAAAUUCUGAGGGAGCCAAAUAUGCAUCUGGGUUUCACCAUGCUCCUCAUAAUUCUAGUAGUUUCUUUGAUGCAUCAAAUGUGCUUUGGCAGGAAUCUGAGGGAACCAAAAACACAUCUGGGUUUCACAAUGCUCCUGAUAAUUCUAGUGGUUUCUUUGAUGCUUCAAAUGGGCUUUGGCAAGAAUCUAGGGGAUCUGGGUUUCACAUUGCCUCUGGUAAUUCUAGGGAUUUGUUUGAUGCAUCAAAAGGGCUUUGGCAGGAACCUGAGGGAGCCAAACACGUAAGUGGGUCUCACAAUGGUCCAGAUAGUUCUAGUGAUUUCUUUGAUGCAUCAAAUGAGCUUUGGCAGGAAAAUCCUGAGGCAUCAAAACAAGUAUCUGGGCUUCACAAUGCUCCAGAUAAUUCUGGUGUUUUAUUUGCUGCAUCGACUGAACUUUGGCAGGAAAAUUCUGGAGGAGAAAAU
This 20278-nucleotide long non-coding RNA is filed under the name Vitis vinifera (wine grape). RNAcentral describes it as "long non-coding RNA (VVIN_LNC004460)". The record is from RNAcentral. Lineage: Eukaryota; Viridiplantae; Streptophyta; Magnoliopsida; Vitales; Vitaceae.